AAUUUUGGACAAUGGGGGAAACCCUGAUCCAGCCAUCCCGCGUGUAUGAUGAAGGCCUUCGGGUUGUAAAGUACUUUUGGCAGAGAAGAAAAGGUAUCUCCUAAUACGAGAUACUGCUGACGGUAUCUGCAGAAUAAGCACCGGCUAACUACGUGCCAGCAGCCGCGGUAAUACGUAGGGUGCAAGCGUGAAUCGGAAUUACUGGGCGUAAAGGGUGUGUGGGCGGUUCGGAAAGGAAGAUGUGAAUGCCCAGGGCCUAACCUUGAAACUGGAUUUUUAUCGGCCGAGCUAGAGUAUGUGAGAGGGGGGUAGAAGUCGACGUGUAGCAGUGGAAGGCGUAGGUAUGGGGAGGAAUACCGAUAGCGAAGGCGGCCCCCUGAGAUAAUACUGACGCUCAGACAGGAGAGCGUGGGGAGCAAACAGG
Molecule: ribosomal RNA, 424 nt
Filed under: uncultured bacterium
Lineage: Bacteria
Description: partial 16S ribosomal RNA
Rfam family: Bacterial small subunit ribosomal RNA
Source: RNAcentral